CGCUGGUGUCGCUGGCGCUGGUGUCGCUGGUGUCGCUGGCGCUGGUGUCGCUGAUGUGGUCGUGCUGCAUCGUCGGUUCGAGCCCGUGCGGGCGA
Molecule: transfer RNA, 95 nt
Filed under: freshwater metagenome
Description: tRNA-Ala
Source: RNAcentral